CCUACGGGCGGCAGCAGUGGGGAAUAUUGGGCAAAGGGCGCAAGCCUGACCCAGCAAUGCCGCGUGAAGGAAGCAGGCUUUCGGGUUGUAAACUUCUUUGACAGGGGAAGAGCAGAAGACGGUACCCUGAAAACAAGCCACGGCUAACUACGUGCCAGCCGCCGCGGUAAUACGUAGGUGGCCAGCGUUGUCCGGCUUUACUGGGGGUAAAGGGCGUGUAGCCGGGAAGGCAAGUCAGAUGUGAGAUCCGGAGGCGCAACCUCCGAAUUGCAUGUGAAACUGUUUUUCCCGAGUACUGGAGAGGCAGACGGAAUUCCUGGUGUAGCGGUGAAAUGCGUAGAUAUAAGGAGGAACACCAGUGGCGAAGGCGGUCUGCUGGACAGCAACUGACGGUGAGGCGCGAAAGCGUGGGGAGCAAACAGGAUUAGAUACCCUAGUAGUC
RNAcentral lists this ribosomal RNA (442 nucleotides) under uncultured bacterium. RNAcentral describes it as "partial 16S ribosomal RNA". It matches the Rfam family "Bacterial small subunit ribosomal RNA", at positions 338 to 795 of the family's 1533-position model. The record is from RNAcentral.